AAGCAGCAAUUUAUAAAUCACAGGCUGAAACAGGUGAAAUCAAAGGACAUUACUUGAAUGCUACUGCAGGUACAUGCGAAGAAAUGAUGAAAAGAGCUAUAUUUGCUAGAGAAUUGGGAGUUCCGAUUGUAAUGCAUGAUUACUUACCAUAGGAAGAGCGUGUGUAGGGAA
This is a long non-coding RNA of Ipomoea nil (Japanese morning glory), 171 nucleotides long. RefSeq lists it as uncharacterized. The record is from RefSeq and is a predicted model, not a curated record. The transcript is spliced from 3 exons. Lineage: Eukaryota; Viridiplantae; Streptophyta; Magnoliopsida; Solanales; Convolvulaceae.